RNAcentral lists this ribosomal RNA (497 nucleotides) under uncultured bacterium. RNAcentral describes it as "partial 16S ribosomal RNA". It matches the Rfam family "Bacterial small subunit ribosomal RNA", at positions 28 to 507 of the family's 1533-position model. The record is from RNAcentral.
GAUGAACGCUGGCGGCGUGCCUAACACAUGCAAGUCGAGCGAACGGACGAGAAGCUUGCUUCUCUGAUGUUAGCGGCGGACGGGUGAGUAACACGUGGAUAACCUCCCUAUAAGACUGGGAUAACUUCGAGAAACCGGGGCUAAUACCGGAUGAUAUUUUGAACCGCAUGGUUCAAAAGUGAAAGACGGUCUUGCUGUCACUUAUAGAUGGAUCCGAGCUGCAUUAGCUAGUUGGUAAGGUAACGGCUUACCACGGCAACGAUGCAUAGCCGACCUGAGAGGGUGAUCGGCCACGCUGGAACUGAGACACGGUCCAGACUCCGACGGGGGGAAGCAGUAGGGAAUCUCCCGCAAUGGGCGAAAGCCUGACGCAGCAACGCCGCGUGAGUUAUGAGGGUCUUGGGAUCGUGAAACUCUGUUAUUAGGGAAGAACAUAUGUGUAAGUAACUGUGCACAUCUUGACGGUACCUAAUCAGAAAGCCACGGCUAACUACGUG